RNAcentral lists this ribosomal RNA (1436 nucleotides) under metagenome. RNAcentral describes it as "bacterial SSU rRNA". It matches the Rfam family "Archaeal small subunit ribosomal RNA". The record is from RNAcentral.
UCCAGUUGAUCCUGCUGGAGAUUGCUGCUAUGGGAGUGCGAUUUAGCCAUGCAAGUCCAGGGGCUCUUAGGAGCACCGGCAAACUGCUCAGUAACACGUCGAUAAUCUGCCCUAAAGUAAGGAAUAGCCUCGGAAAACUGAGGGUAACACCUUAUAGGAAAUAUAUUCUGGAAUGAUUUAUUUCUCAAAAGCAAUGCUUUAGGAUGAGUCGGCGGCCGAUUAGGUUGUUGGCGAGGUAAAGGCUCACCAAGCCUACGAUCGGUACGGGCCUUGAGAGAGGGAGCCCGGAGAAGGGUUCUGAGAUACUAACCCUAGCCCUACGGGGUGCAGCAGGCGCGAAACCUUUACAAUGCACGAAAGUGUGAUAGGGGUACUCCCAGUGCUCAUGCUCAGCAUGGGCUUUUGCCAAGGGUAAGGUCCUUAGCGAAUAAGCAGUGGGUAAGACGGGUGCCAGCCGCCGCGGUAAUACCUGCGCUGCAAGUGGCAAUCGCGAUUAUUGGGCCUAAAGCGUCCGUAGUUGGUCGAGUAAGUCUUUUGUUAAACUGCACCGCAUAACGUUGCAUAUGCAAAAGAUACUGCUUGACUUGGGACCGGAGAGAAGUUAGGGGUAUUCGUAGAGGAGCGGUAAAAUGUGAUAAUCCUACGAAGACCACCUGUGGCGAAGGCGCCUAACUAGAACGGCUCCGACAAUGAGGGACGAAAGCCAGGGGAGCGAAACGGAUUAGAUACCCGUGUAGUCCUGGCUGUAAACGCUGCGAGCUAGGUGUUGCAUUCCCCUAAGGGUAUGCAGUGUCGUAGUGAAGACGUUAAGCUCGCCGCCUGGGGAGUACGGUCGCAAGACUGAAACUUAAAGGAAUUGGCGGGGGCGCACCACAACCGGUGCGGCGUGCGGUUUAAUUCAAGUCUACACGGAAAAUCUCACCAGGGGCGACGGCAAGAUGAUGGUCAGGUUAAAGACCUUACUGGAUGAGCCGAGAGGUAGUGCAUGCCCGUCGUCAGCUCGUGCCGUGAGGUGUCCAGUUAAGUCUGGUAACGAGCGAGACCUACAUCUGCAUUUGCUAACGCCUAAUUUUUAGGAGCGAGCACAAUGCAGAGACUGCCCGGGAAACUGGGAGGAAGGUGUAGGCAACGACAGGUCAGUAUGCUCCGAAUCUCCUGGGCUACACGCGCGCAACAAUGGUAAAGACAAUGGGCUGCAACUCCGAAAGGAGAAGCUAAUCCUCGAAACUUUAUCUCAGUCCGGAUCGAGGGUUGUAACUCACCCUCGUGACGUUGGAAUCGGUAGUAAUUGGACGUUAGCGGCGUCCAGUGAAUAUGUCCCUGCGCCCUGCACACACCGCCCGUCAAACCAUCCGAGCGGGGCUUUGAUGAGGCGUUAGUCUCUGGAUUAGCGACGAAUCUAAGCUUCGUGAGGCGGGUUAAGUCGUCACAAGGUA